CUUCGCUGGAUUGUGGCCCAAAAGGAAUCAGGGGUUAUGAAUAAAAUUUCCUACACAAGGAGCGGCAUAUAGACAGAGAGUGAUUGCCUGGAGAUCCACCCAGACGGCUGAGUGUGCCGGUGGUUUGUGACUGUUGAUGAUGAAGCAGGAUGCCACGGUGCGGGUUUGUUCAGCCUCUCACCUGCUGCAGGACCUGGCCGUUGUUUCCAGUUUGGGUUUGUUACAAACACCGGCGCUAUGGACAACCGUGUUCAGGUCUAUGUGUGGAGGUCAUUUCUUUUUAGCACUGAAUAAUAUUCCGUUGUCUGGAUGGACCACAGUUUACGUAUCCACUCACCUACUGAGGGACGUCUUGGCUGCUUCCAAGCUUUGGCAACUAUGAAUAAAGCUGCUAUAAACAUCCGCG
This is a long non-coding RNA of Ailuropoda melanoleuca (giant panda), 406 nucleotides long. RefSeq lists it as uncharacterized. NCBI's taxonomy places the organism in Eukaryota, Metazoa, Chordata, Mammalia, Carnivora, Ursidae. The transcript is spliced from 3 exons. The record is from RefSeq and is a predicted model, not a curated record.